This 461-nucleotide ribosomal RNA is filed under the name uncultured bacterium. RNAcentral describes it as "partial 16S ribosomal RNA". It matches the Rfam family "Bacterial small subunit ribosomal RNA", at positions 339 to 795 of the family's 1533-position model. The record is from RNAcentral.
CUACGGGUGGCUCCAGUCGAGAAUCUUCCGCAAUGGACGAAAGUCUGACGGAGCGACGCCGCGUGCGGGAUGAAGGCCUUCGGGUUGUAAACCGCUGUCAGUGGGGAGGAAAUGCAUCAGGGUUCUCCCUGGUGUUUGACCGAUCCGCAGAGGAAGCGCAGGCUAAGUUCGUGCCAGCAGCCGCGGUAACACGAACUGCGCGAACGUUAUUCGGAAUCACUGGGCUUAAAGAGUUCGUAGGCGGCCUUUCAAGUCGGGUGUGAAAUCCCUCGGCUCAACCGAGGAAUUGCGCCUGAUACUGUUGGGCUUGAGGGGGAUAGGGGUGAGCGGAACUGAUGGUGGAGCGGUGAAAUGCGUUGAUAUCAUCAGGAACACCGGUGGCGAAGGCGGCUCACUGGAUCUCUUCUGACGCUGAGGAACGAAAGCUAGGGGAGCGAACAGGAUUAGAUACCCUCGUAGUC